RNAcentral lists this ribosomal RNA (497 nucleotides) under uncultured bacterium. RNAcentral's name for it is "partial 16S ribosomal RNA". It matches the Rfam family "Bacterial small subunit ribosomal RNA", at positions 28 to 507 of the family's 1533-position model. The record is from RNAcentral.
GAUGAACGCUGGCGGCGUGCCUAAUACAUGCAAGUCGAGCGAACAGAUGAGGAGCUUGCUCCUCUGACGUUAGCGGCGGACGGGUGAGUAACACGUGGAUAACCUACCUAUAAGACUGGGAUAACUUCGGGAAACCGGAGCUAAUACCGGAUAAUAUAUUGAACCGCAUGGUUCAAUAGUGAAAGACGGUUUUGCUGUCACUUAUAGAUGGAUCCGCGCCGCAUUAGCUAGUUGGUAAGGUAACGGCUUACCAAGGCAACGAUGCUUAGCCGACCUGAGAGGGUGAUCGGCCACACUGGAACUGAGACACGGUCCAGACUCCUACGGGAGGCAGCAGUAGGGAAUCUUCCGCAAUGGGCGAAAGCCUGACGGAGCAACGCCGCGUGAGUGAUGAAGGUCUUCGGAUCGUAAAACUCUGUUAUUAGGGAAGAACAAAUGUGUAAGUAACUAUGCACGUCUUGACGGUACCUAAUCAGAAAGCCACGGCUAACUACGUG